UGCAGUCGAGCGCACCUUCGGGUGAGCGGCGGACGGGUGAGUAACGCGUGGGAAUAUGCCCUUCUCUACGGAAUAGCCUCGGGAAACUGAGAGUAAUACCGUAUACGCCCUUCGGGGGAAAGAUUUAUCGGAGAAGGAUUAGCCCGCGUUGGAUUAGGUAGUUGGUGAGGUAACGGCUCACCAAGCCGACGAUCCAUAGCUGGUUUGAGAGGAUGAUCAGCCACACUGGGACUGAGACACGGCCCAGACUCCUACGGGAGGCAGCAGUGGGGAAUCUUAGACAAUGGGGGAAACCCUGAUCUAGCCAUGCCGCGUGAGUGACGAAGGCCCUAGGGUCGUAAAGCUCUUUCAGCUGUGAAGAUAAUGACGGUAGCAGCAGAAGAAACCCCGGCUAACUCCGUGCCAGCAGCCGCGGUAAUACGGAGGGGGUUAGCGUUGUUCGGAAUUACUGGGCGUAAAGCGCGCGUAGGCGGAUUAGUAAGUUAGAGGUGAAAUCCCGGGGCUCAACCCCGGAACUGCCUUUAAUACUGCUAGUCUUGAGUUCGAGAGAGGUGAGUGGAAUUCCGAGUGUAGAGGUGAAAUUCGUAGAUAUUCGGAGGAACACCAGUGGCGAAGGCGGCUCACUGGCUCGAUACUGACGCUGAGGUGCGAAAGUGUGGGGAGCAAACAGGAUUAGAUACCCUGGUAGUCCACACCGUAAACGAUGAAUGCCAGACGUCGGGCAGUAUACUGUUC
This 735-nucleotide ribosomal RNA is filed under the name uncultured bacterium. RNAcentral describes it as "bacterial SSU rRNA". It matches the Rfam family "Bacterial small subunit ribosomal RNA", at positions 56 to 841 of the family's 1533-position model. The record is from RNAcentral.